GAAGCAGAGUGACUGCAUCAGUGGUAUGUUUGCUUUUUAACCUCAGUUGUAUUUUUUAAAUAGCUGUUUGAAUGCUAACAUUUAGCAGUGUUCUGUCUUUUAAUAUGUGUGAUGUACAGUGUGAUGAAGCCAGUGUUUCUGAAAUUCCCUUUGAAGUCAUUAGUUUUGUAUGUAAUCAAUAUAUAUUAUAAUAGUAAGGUGUUGCUUCAUAUGUUUUCUAAUUUCUAAUCAUCCUCACAUCCUCUGAUCAGAUUUCUUUUAUAAUUUACUAUUGCACACCUGACGCAUUUACAUGUUUCACGUUUUAAUGAUCGACUUCUCUGAGGAGAUUUGUUUCCACCCCUUAACCAAUCACCUUCAAACAGCAGAACAGUUCGUCUGGGCUGGUGGUUGGAGUCUCAGUCAUCUUCCAAGUAAAUUACAGUGUGGUUCAACAGCACUGAAAUCAGUCAGCAACUGCGGCUGAACAUUAUUCUAUAGAAUAUUUUUUGAUUAAAUUAUUUGGCAAGCCAAA
Molecule: long non-coding RNA, 514 nt
Organism: Micropterus dolomieu (smallmouth bass)
Lineage: Eukaryota; Metazoa; Chordata; Actinopteri; Centrarchiformes; Centrarchidae
Exons: 2
Source: RefSeq, a predicted model, not a curated record